UUUUUUUAGCCUGCUGCGGGAUCGAGGGAGGCGGGCGCCCAGCGGGCGAGGGAGCGCGGGGACAACGAGGGAGGAGCUAGGGCUAGACCUAGCUCCCCUGCUCCUCGAGGACGGAGGGGCUGCCGGCUGGAGGAGGAGCGGGGCGGCGACGCAGGCCGCGGCGGUGCCGGAGACCUCGGUCCCUUCGGUACCGGACUCGAGCCGGAGCUCCAGGGGCGGCGGCAGAGGACGUCGAAGACGGGGCGGCGGAGUGGCGGGCUCGAGCGGCAGCGUGGUUGGAGCCGCGGCGCGGCGGCGGCCGAGACCAGCGGAGGUGGAGGCGCGGUACUCCUUGGGCGGUGUGCGCAGUUCCGCUCCGCGGAGGACCCGAGGCAGGCAAAGGUCUCGCUCGCGGGCGCUUAUGGAUCGAUCGGCGGCGGCAGCACUGGCAAGGUCGGUGGCGGUUCCGGUGUGAAGGAGAAGGUGGAGGCGCAUGAGGACCAACGUCGGGGUCGAGAAGUGCCCGUCCCUAGACGCCGAGCGGCCGCACCGGGCACCGUCCCCUCUCUUCCCCCCGUACUAGCCGCCCCGUCUCAAGAAAGCCUUCCUGUCGCACCACCCGUUGUACCUGCCUAUGGAGUUGAUGGACAGGGAGCUCAUACUGAAGCAGAGCCUGUGGUUAGGACGAACCCAUAGAAGUAAAACCUUCGUCCUUAGGAAAGGAGUAUUCUACCUACUCGACAUCCUAAACUAAGACAAGUCGAACUUAAUCAAAAAGUAGUAGUACAAGAAACAUAAUCCUUAAGUACGGAAGGUCGAGAUUAAAAAAGCGUAACAACCACAUACGACCCUCAGUGUAAUAAUACGACGAUCGUUUGUCAUCCUAACCUUCAGAAUGAGACAUCCAAUCAUUAUAGAAAAGGUGAUAUGGCUCCAAGUCGUUAAAUUAAGCAUAAUUCCAGUGUGUUCGUCAAACCAAAAGUCUAAACAGAACUGUUUGUAUAAACCAAGUCGUUAAAUUAAGUAUAAUUUCAGUGUGUUCGUCAAACCAAAAAUCUAAACAGAACUGUUUGUAUGAAACGUCUAAUAGGAGUGUAUACUUUAACUAAAGACGUUCAAGGAAAGUGAAGAAUAAAUAAAGAAGUGAACCAAUACUACAUGUCGAUAAGCAAAAGUACUAUUAAGUACGCAAAACAUCAAAAGUGACUGUCUUAGAACAGAACUUUGUUCUAACCAAGGGUAACAAUGUCACUUCAUCGAUGGUUCGUCGCUCCGGUAGCUCACUGUACUCUGGCGCCCUGCCGUACUCUUCUUCGUCCCCCACAGACCGCCCUACCUCUUCUGGUGUCCCUUCACACCGCUACCUCACGUUAGGGCUUCUUCUUCUUGUAACGUUUCUUCCUGGGACCGGUUCACGGUGGGUUAAGAGAAAGUGGCUGGGUAGAUUACCGGUAGUUAAGUUAACCAGGUUCGACAACACAACUGGAAGGGUAACUAGGUGAUGUAGGAGCGGGUCGACCAAGACGAUACAAAGAAGAGGUACCGCAACGACCAACGGCCGCACGGACUGUAGCGCGGAAUACACUGCACUGUACUACGAGGAGAUGCACAAGAAGAGUGGGGCCAAAGGUACUCCUCUCUACAACAAGACACCAAGACAUCAAGAUGAGGUAUCGUUACUACCUCAGCGGAGGUAUACCUAUAGUUAAUAGAGCCCUAGUACUCUCGACAGAUGCGUUGCCGGUCCCCCGUAUACGAAGAGGAUCGUGAUUCUGGAAGUAGGAUAAACUCGGUCUUACCGAAACCACGGGAGAGAGUGAGUACCACUCCGGCACUACCUCAGCGGAGGUAUACCUAUCGUUAAUAGAGNNNNNNNNNNCCAAAGGUACUCCUCUCUACAACAAGACACCAAGACAUCAAGAUGAGGUAUCGUUACUACCUCAGCGGAGGUAUACCUAUCGUUAAUAGAGCCCUAGUACCACUCCAAUGAUUGAGCUGGGAAACAAACCGAGACAAGCACACCUAGAUAAGUACACGUAGACAUUUGAAAUAAAUCCAUGUUCAUAACAAGAUCGCGAACACAAAUAAUAAAAACAUUUUUAUUCUAAAUAACUAGAGUAAUUUAACUCCAAAAUACAAGUGUACUUUAAGAUUGACUUAAACGAUAAGUCGACUGUUAAGGUUGUUAAAAAACAUAACAUAAACGUACAGCUCUCGACAGAUGCGUUGCCGGUCCCCCGUAUACGAAGAGGAUCGUGAUUCUGGAAGUAGGAUAAACUCGGUCUUACCGAAACCACGGGAGAGAGCGAGUACCACUCCGGCACGUACGAACGGUACAACACCGAUGCUUUAGAGUCUGACUCAGCGAAGCCAGCCCGUGAUAAGUCCCCUUAUAAACAAGUCUUAGAAGUCAGAACAUUAAAAGAGGAACUACUGUUACUGGUACGACACGACCCCCUAAACCCUAAGGUAGGAACGACAAACCUGAAGGCGACGGUUUAGGUCUAGAAUAGGUUUCUGAACCCUGAGGUUUAAUGUACGGGGUCUUGUAACCGCUGGUCUGUAGUCUCCGGGUUAAUCAAUGCUCUGACUGAGUAACCCCAAAGCGAACCUCGUAAGAACUCUACAAGUCACCGCAAGUCUGAACCACACGGUUUAGUGGUCUACUCUAAAUAGUCAGUCAACAGGACUUCUUUCUCUUUGGCUACAAGGAUAUGUUAAAUGGAUACCUCCAGCGAUUACAGGAGAGACCGACGAUACUCAUACUUAAAGCCCUAGUGAGGAACUACAAUCUAUAGAAUGUCAGUAAACUUUCCAACCUCCACUGUGUACUUGCGACCGUUACGUUUUAUCGUCUAUAUUUUAUUGACGUCGAGUCCGGUACAUCAAGAUGUUGUUGGUUCCUUCUUCAGGCAAAAAAUUCGGCUGGAACCGGUUCGUAAAUUCGAAUAUACCAACGAGAGAUAAAAAGUCUCCACGCACAUGACUCCUGCGGGUACUAAAUCCCGGUUUUUAGAUCUGUUUCACUGUUUUGAAACAUGCUCUGAAUGAACUUCGGUUCCUCCAGUCCCCUCCUCCUGUUGUUCCGACCCCUCGCCUCCGCCUCCGACUGCCCCUUCUCUUACUAGUUCGUACAUUUAGAUCUCGUGUUCGAGCACUAAAUAGUUCCCUCACCGCGACGGCGGCCUAAUCUUUUAGUAUAGAGUGCAAUUCCACAAAAACAGAAAACAAAGACAUGUUUAAACCACGUCCGUUCAAAAACUACUAUAUAUAUUCUACUGAUCGUAAUAGAAAAAUAACUCACGUACAAGACCAUCGUAAUAGAUGAAUCUUUUUUAACGAUAUACGCACAUCACUUAUUAUAGACAUCCGC
RNAcentral lists this ribosomal RNA (3352 nucleotides) under Triticum aestivum (bread wheat). Its description in RNAcentral is "partial small subunit ribosomal RNA". The record is from RNAcentral. Lineage: Eukaryota; Viridiplantae; Streptophyta; Magnoliopsida; Poales; Poaceae.